Molecule: ribosomal RNA, 467 nt
Filed under: uncultured bacterium
Lineage: Bacteria
Description: partial 16S ribosomal RNA
Rfam family: Bacterial small subunit ribosomal RNA
Source: RNAcentral
GAUGAACGCUGGCGGCGUGCUUAACACAUGCAAGUCGAACGGUGAAGCAGAGCUUGCUCUGUGGAUCAGUGGCGAACGGGUGAGUAACACGUGAGCAACCUGCCCCUGACUCUGGGAUAAGCGCUGGAAACGGCGUCUAAUACUGGAUAUGAGCUGCGACCGCAUGGUCAGCAGUUGGAAAGAUUUUUCGGUCUGGGAUGGGCUCACGGCCUAUCAGCUUGUUGGUGAGGUAAUGGCUCACCAAGGCGCCGACGGGUAGCCGGCCUGAGAGGGUGACCGGCCACACUGGGACUGAGACACGGCCCAGACUCCUACGGGAGGCAGCAGUGGGGAAUAUUGCACAAUGGGCGAAAGCCUGAUGCAGCAACGCCGCGUGAGGGAUGACGGCCUUCGGGUUGUAAACCUCUUUUAGCAGGGAAGAAGCGAAAGUGACGGUACCUGCAGAAAAAGCGCCGGCUAACUACGUG